Long non-coding RNA from Camelus dromedarius (Arabian camel), 5529 nucleotides. RefSeq lists it as uncharacterized. NCBI's taxonomy places the organism in Eukaryota, Metazoa, Chordata, Mammalia, Artiodactyla, Camelidae. The transcript is spliced from 4 exons. The record is from RefSeq and is a predicted model, not a curated record.
AACCCGCCGCCGCGCUGGGCCCUCUCCAGUGGGCCCUCACCUGGGACCGCUGGCUGCCCCUCCGGAUUCCUCUGGGCGGGGCCGGGAGGCCCGCGCCCACCUCCGCCCGGUCGCUUCAAAGUGGGAAACCGAGGCUGAGAGAGGAAGACGGGCCUGGCCCGGGGUCACACGGACUGUCGGAAGCCAGGUGGAGCUGGAACCCAGGCCUCUCAGCCCUUGCUCUUCCUCCCUUGCACAGGAAGGCACAACCUGUCUCCAGACCCUAAUGGCACAGGGGCUGGCAUGCAGAGGGUGCUGAAGGUUGUCGAUUGACUGAAGAGAGCGAGACCACGAGAGCACCCCUCAUGUACAUGCACUUUACGCUGGUAUGUCAUUCACCCCACCAGUGCCCCUACAAAGAGGAAGCCAAGGCUCUGAAAGAUGAAACCAUUAGACUCAAGUCAUCUGACAGGGAGGCAAUGGAGCUGACUCUCAUGAAGCCCUAAGUGGAUGCUGACUACACAGAAAGAGUCCACCAUUGAGAAUCAGGCUCUAGACAUGCACUGCCUGGAGGAGGACCCAGCCCCGCCACACCCAAGCAGGGUGACUGUGGAUACAUCUCUUAAUUUGUCCAAGCUUCAGCUUCUCCAUCUGCAAACUGGGGCUGAUAAUAAGAUAUAACUCACAGCGUUGACCUGAGGAUUAAAGGAGAUAAUUCAAGCUCUCAGCAGUGCCUGGACCAAAGGAAAAAUACCCCAAAGGCGAGUAUUAUUAUGUUUAUUAUUGUAUCAUCUUGUCCUUUCUUGUCUCUCAGAAAUGUCAGGUCAAUUCACCUUGCAGUGAAAAGUAAGAGGAAAAAUCAACCCCUCCUGGAUGCCUGUUAGUGCGAAGCUACAAUAACACCACUCAUGAUUUUCGGAGCCGUGGCUAUGCAGCAUAAGCCACUCAUUGCUGCAUGAACCUGACUCACCAAACGAGGCAGUUGGGGCAGGGGAGUGCUGUAACCAAGCUGUGUGUGAAUGUGCCACUGUGCUGUCACUCAGGAACAGGCCUAACUACUGCCACGUCCACUGUGCCACAGGUAGCGACAGAUGUUGGGCCGGCUCACAUGAGGGUAGGAAGGGGUCUGAAACAGCCUAAGCCCACUGCUUCCCAGACAGCUGGUCUGCCCACCAUGACUUAUUUCUCUGUUUCAAUCUUGGCUUGGAAGGCAUUCAGGACAGCCUUAGUUCACUGACCAAGGUUGCUGUGAAUGCUAGAAUUCUCUGGAUAAGCUUUACCACCAGCACCUCUGAGACCUUCUAUGUGCUUGCCCCUUGUCAAGGACUGUGAUGGGUCUGGGGUUUUACCCUACUUGCAAACCAACAAGCAAGCCUGCCACAGUUUCAUGCAUGCUGCCAGAAGAUAGGAGAUUCCUGGGUCAGCGACAAUGGACCUUAUUACUCAGUAAACAGCAUGAUUAUCAGCAUGUUGACAUCAGUCCUCUUGUCCCCAAUUCCCAUGGGGGUGGCACCAAUGGCCUAGACAGAUGCCUGCACAGAGUGGACUGUGGUAUGGGAGAGGACUCUAAAAUUAAGACCCAAGUCUUUUCUAAUGGCUGCCCUUUUCUCUGGAGGGAGAUUCUGUCCCCAUCUUCCAUGGCUAUUCACUGUACCAACAUCCUUGAGAAGAGAGUCCAGGACAAAGGCUGUCAGUGCCUUGCUUGCAAAAUGUGCAGAACCUCAAGAGACCCCUGGAGAAUUGUCUUACAAUAAGAUCCACCGCUCAUUUCUACACUGUCUUGACUUUUGGCAAAUUUUCCCAUGAGUUCACCACUCUGUUGGCAAAUAUGAUCAAAAGAGGCUAGAACCAAAUCUGUUCAAUAUGUCACAUACAGAAUUUAAUUAAAGCUACUAUCCAUGGGACUCCAAGCAGCAGGAUGAAGCCAAUUUGCAGUACUGACCUCAACCAUGCCUCCCAGCUGAACAAAUCCAUAUUGCAUCAGAUCUACCUUAGAAAGCCAGGUUGCUUGCUCCUUGGUUCUCUGUAUCAACCUUGGCCUGGAAGGCAUUCAGGACAGCCUCAAUUCACUGAUCAAGAUUGCUGUGUAUGACAGAAUUCUCCUGGAUUUAUUCCUUGCAGGCCAGAGUCUGUGCAAUUAAUAUAUCCUGCUGUACCUGGAUUAAUGCUUCCAGCCAUGAGUAAUAAAGUCCUUUGUCUCUGACCCAGGAAUCGCCUGUCUUCUGCAUGCAUGAACCUGUGGCAAGCUCACAUGUUAGUUUGCAAGUAGGCUAAAGUCAAGGAUAAAUUUCAAGUCCCUCUGUUUUCAGGAGAGAGACAAGUUAAUGGGUGACUUCUGUAUAAGUCAUACAGUCUCAAGGGUGCACAUGGUGUUUCUGGGAAGAAACAUGGUGCCCCCAAGUGUGACCUACAUCAGUUAUGGGGUGCCAAGGUUGACAGUGCCUCCAGUGUGGCCUCUCUGCAUGUUGGUAGGCCUUAGGGGUCCCAGUCCAACUGAGGCCAGUCCUUGUUUUUGGAGGGCCUGGCUAAGGGCAGUUAGUCCAAUCUGUCCUGUUUGUCCAGGCCACCAGCCAGAUGGCAUUCAUGCACCCCAUGGCAUGACAGAGUGGUAAUGGCUCCAGGACUGGCAAUGGGGACGAUAGCUGGGGGUGAUGGUGUUACCAGGUAUUUUAUGUGACAGGUACAGGAGCUGAGGCUACCCUCUGCUGCUUCCAAUCUCUUGGAAAAGAUAAGCAGAAUGGCAAUCAAAUCAAGGUCAGAACUGCCUACAGGAGCACUGCAGACCCAGCAGUCUGAUAAAUUUAAGUCACUUGCAACAGUUUGAGAGAAUUGGACCUGGAUGUUUUCCUCCAUGAAGAAGGCUCCAGGUGAUUCGGCAAGACAAAGGUUACACAUUUCUUUCUUUCCCCCAUAUCUCCUGGGGUCUGAGGUGUUCCCUCCCCAGGUGCCAAGGUUGCUGUUCUCCCUCUACGGCCACAAAAUCGAUGUGUUCCAUUCCAGGAGUUAGAACUUCAACUUUUUUCCAAUCUCCCCCUACUCACACCUUUCAUCUGCAAGGAUCAGGGGACAAAGACGUUUUUAUAAAACAUACAGGGAUCCAUUAGGUCCCCCAUCCUACACAUGGGCCACAGUUGGGGGACUCAGAGAGAGAGGUGUACACACCAGCACUCCAGUUAUUCUGAUGCAGGACUGUGUCUGUCCAACAAGAGAAUCCAAGUGGCUGAACAAUAAUAUAGUGAGAAUCACCUAAACCCUUUUCUGACUGGGCUGCCACCUGGAAUUGCAGCAACCAGGCUGGCCUGGGGUUGCUGUUAAGGGAAAGAAAGAAGCAUUAUGUCUAGGAAUAGUGAGUGUGGAACCCUAAAUUUUCAAAACUGGUCUAUGUAAACCCUACCCCUCUCAUCUUGAUCAUUACAAAGGACACAGCCUAGGGGAGAUGGUCCCAUCCUGGAGACAGCCACAUUCAGUGACUGAACUGCCAUAUGGAGGUGUGGGGACCUGGAGGGAGAGUCAGAAAUUUCUUUGAGUUAAUUUUUGAGGAUCACCAUGAUAAUGGAUGAUAGGGAGCAUGGAAGGACCACCAAAUACCUAGAUUAUCAUAUUGAGUGGCUUUUGAGAUAAAAGAUGCACUAUUGUUAGACCAUUGGUCCAGAAAGCCAAAAACAAUACACAGAUUAGUCUCAAGAACCACAAUCGUGUUAUCAAAGUUGGCUGGUUGGCCUGGAACAGCACCAUUGUACCCUCAGAAAGUGUAAGACACCAGCCAUAGCCCCAAGGAGUCAAAGGUCCCAUGCAGUCAAUCUCUCAAGAGCAGGCAGGGGCAACACCACAUACACUGUGGUCUCCUUCAUUGCAGGACAAACAGAUGAACUUUUGGCAGAAAUCACAAAUCUUGCAUGGAGUUGUGGCCUCUGCAUCAGAAGUGUAGAGUCCUUUACUUUGUGCCCAUUCUGUGAUGGUAGACAUGUUGCCAUAUCUGUAUGAUGAUGGAUCCAGACAUAAAUGGAGACAGUCUGGGCAGUGGAGGCUCGAUCAACAGCUUGAUCCCUAUAAUCUUAUCAGAGAAUGAGCCCUUAGCAGGGGCAUCUGUGUAAGAGCUCUAGAUGGUUUGAUCAGUCAUGAUUUGUUUCCACAGUUAGCUGAGAACAUUGCCAUCUAAAGCCCUCUAUUGGGUGGCAGAGUACUGAUAUCUGUCUCACAUUUGGGGACUCCUUGACUCAGCAACCACAGCCACAUUGCUUUCCAGCUCGGGCUGCAAAUUCGUACUGUUCAGCUGACCUGGGUUUGAGUUGGUCAGUCUAACUAAAGAUUUGGCAAUUUAAAGAACUAACUUGUGGGUGAGUUGAUUUUCUCUAAUCUUUAUUCUAGCCUUCCUUCUACUUGCUUUGAGUUUAGCUUACUUUUAUUUUUCUAGUUUCUUAAGGUGGAAGAUUAGGUGAUUUGAGACUUUUUUCCUUUUAAACAUAAGAAUAUGCAACUAUAAAUUUCCCUCUAAGCACUGCUUUGGCUGCAUCUCACAAAUUUUGGUAUGUUGUGUUUUCAUCUUCAUUAAUCUCAAAGUAGUUUCUAAUUUCCUGUGUGACUUCUUCUAUGAUCCAUUAAUUAUUUAAGAUGAUGUUGUUUAACUUCCAUGUAUUUGUGAAUUUUCCAAAUUUCCUUCUAUUAUUGAUUGCUAAUUUCAUUCCACUACAGCCUGAGAACACACUUUGUAUGAUUUCAACCCUUUUAAAUGUAUUGAGACUGUUUUAUGGUCUAAUAUAUGGUCUAUCCUGGAGAAUGCUCCAUGCAUAUUUGAGAAGAAUAUAACUUCUGCUGUUGUUGGGUGGAGUGUUAUAUAGAUGUCUGUCAGGACUUGGGCUUGACUUGAACAGCUGUGACUUUUCUUUUAAAGGAGACUACCUUGAUAGAGGGUAUUUCUGUCCCACUGUCAUAAUAACAACUCAUUUUUUUUUAAUUGCAAUAUAGUCAGUUACAAUGUAUCAACUUCUGGUGUACAGCACAAUGUCCUAGUCAUGCAUAUGCAUACAUACAUUUGUUUUCAUAUUUUUUAUUGAUGGUUAUUGCCAAGAUACUGAAUGUAGUUCCCUGUGCUAUACAGAAGAAAUUUGUUUUUAAAUCUAUUUUCUCUCUCUCAUUGUCUCUCUUUUUUAUUUUGCUGCGGGAGGUAAUUAGGUUUAUUUAUUUUUAGAGGAGCUACUGGGAGUUGACUCCUGGACCUCAUGCAUGAUAAGCAUGCACUCUACCACUUGAACUAUACCCUCCCCUCCUUUUUUAAAUCUAUUUUUCUAUAUAGUGGCUAACAUUUGCAAAUCUCAAACUCCCAAAUUUAUCCCUUCCCAUCCCCUUUCCCCCGGCAACCAUAAGAUUGUUUACUAUGUCUGUGAUUUUGUUUCUGUUUUGUAGAGGAGUUCAUUAGUGUCCUCUUUUUCUCUUUUUUUUAGAUUCCACAUAUGAGUGAUAUCAGAUGGUAUUUUUCUUUCUCUUUCUGGCUUACUUCACUUAGAAUGACAGUCUCUAAAUUUGACACAACAUUAUAAAAUGACUAUAACU